This 253-nucleotide ribosomal RNA is filed under the name uncultured bacterium. Its description in RNAcentral is "partial 16S ribosomal RNA". It matches the Rfam family "Bacterial small subunit ribosomal RNA", at positions 524 to 776 of the family's 1533-position model. The record is from RNAcentral.
UACGGGGGGGGCAAGCGUUGUUCGGAAUUACUGGGCGUAAAGGGCUCGUAGGCGGCCAACUAAGUCAGACGUGAAAUCCCCAGGCUCAACCUGGGAACUGCGUCUGAUACUGGAUGGCUUGAAUCCGGGAGAGGGAUGCAGAAUUCCAGGUGUAGCGGUGAAAUGCGUAGAUAUCGGGAGGAACACCGGUGGCGAAGGCGGCGACCUGGGUGGAUACUGACGCUGAGGCGCGAAAGCGUGGGGAGCAAACAGG